This is a small nuclear RNA of Suncus etruscus (white-toothed pygmy shrew), 103 nucleotides long. NCBI's taxonomy places the organism in Eukaryota, Metazoa, Chordata, Mammalia, Eulipotyphla, Soricidae. The record is from RefSeq and is a predicted model, not a curated record.
AUGCUUUGGAAGCACAUAUAAUAAAAUUGGAACCAUACAGAGAAGAUUAGCAUGGCCCAUGCACAAAGAUGACAUGUAAAUUCGUGAAGAGCUUUAUUUACUU